AUUGAACGCUGGCGGCAUGCCUUACACAUGCAAGUCGGACGGCAGCGCGGGAGCAAUCCUGGCGGCGAGUGGCGAACGGGUGAGUAAUACAUCGGAACAUGUCCAGUAGUGGGGGAUAGCCCGGCGAAAGCCGGAUUAAUACCGCAUACGAUCUAUGGAUGAAAGCGGGGGAUCGCAAGACCUCGCGCUAUUGGGGUGGCCGAUGGCGGAUUAGCUAGUUGGUGGGGUAAAGGCCUACCAAGGCGAUGAUCCGUAGCUGGUCUGAGAGGACGACCAGCCACACUGGGACUGAGACGCGGCCCAGACUCCUACGGGAGGCAGCAGUGGGGAAUUUUGGACAAUGGGGGCAACCCUGAUCCAGCAAUGCCGCGUGUGUGAAGAAGGCCUUCGGGUUGUAAAGCACUUUUGUCCGGGAAGAAAUCCCCUGCCCUAAUACGGCGGGGGGAUGACGUACC
RNAcentral lists this ribosomal RNA (455 nucleotides) under Burkholderia sp. oral taxon D43. Its description in RNAcentral is "bacterial SSU rRNA". It matches the Rfam family "Bacterial small subunit ribosomal RNA", at positions 29 to 479 of the family's 1533-position model. The record is from RNAcentral. Lineage: Bacteria; Pseudomonadati; Pseudomonadota; Betaproteobacteria; Burkholderiales; Burkholderiaceae.